GACGAACGCUGGCGGCGUGCCUAAUACAUGCAAGUCGAACGAGAGCGACCGGUGCUUGCACUGGUCAAUCUAGUGGCGAACGGGUGAGUAACACGUGGGUAACCUGCCCAUCAGAGGGGGAUAACAUCCGGAAACGGAUGCUAAAACCGCAUAGGUCUUCGAGCCGCAUGGCUUGAAGAGGAAAAGAGGCGCAAGCUUCUGCUGAUGGAUGGACCCGCGGUGCAUUAGCUAGUUGGUGAGGUAACGGCUCACCAAGGCCGUGAUGCAUAGCCGACCUGAGAGGGUGAUCGGCCACAUUGGGACUGAGACACGGCCCAAACUCCUACGGGAGGCAGCAGUAGGGAAUCUUCCGCAAUGGACGCAAGUCUGACGGAGCAACGCCGCGUGAGUGAAGAAGGUUUUCGGAUCGUAAAACUCUGUUGUUAGAGAAGAACAAGUGCUAGAGUAACUGUUAGCGCCUUG
This 462-nucleotide ribosomal RNA is filed under the name Granulicatella adiacens. RNAcentral describes it as "bacterial SSU rRNA". It matches the Rfam family "Bacterial small subunit ribosomal RNA", at positions 28 to 471 of the family's 1533-position model. Lineage: Bacteria; Bacillati; Bacillota; Bacilli; Lactobacillales; Carnobacteriaceae. The record is from RNAcentral.